UUUAGAUCGAUAUUAAUACAAGAU
This 24-nucleotide non-coding RNA is filed under the name Arabidopsis thaliana (thale cress). The record is from RNAcentral. Lineage: Eukaryota; Viridiplantae; Streptophyta; Magnoliopsida; Brassicales; Brassicaceae.